RNAcentral lists this long non-coding RNA (722 nucleotides) under Sus scrofa (pig). Its description in RNAcentral is "lncRNA (ENSSSCG00015079092.1)". The record is from RNAcentral. Lineage: Eukaryota; Metazoa; Chordata; Mammalia; Artiodactyla; Suidae.
GCUCCCUUUUCAUCUUCCGAUGUGCUUCUCUUUGCCUCUCCCGCAGCAAAUAAGAGGUUCCCGGAGCCUCCACUGCGCUCAGUAGAGCAAACUGCCCCCAGAGAGGUGUCUUGGGAAAGAGGACCGUCCCCCCGAAGCCCCUUGGGAAAACUGCCUUCCCUUUCACAGUGAAACAGCGUAACCGUGGGUACCCCGUGCACUUCGAAGACCUGUACGAAUUAAAGCCUCACCGGAGUCAGAGCGCAGGAGAGGCGUCUGACCCAGGCCGGACCCGGACCCCCAAAGGCCACCGGCGCAGCUCGGCGCAGCUCGGGAAGGAAAGACGAGCCCGACCCCGGGCCGCAGCGCAGGCGUCAACGGACCAGAGCCCAGGAGGCAGCCCUCGGGUGAAGGGACACCAUGCCAGGCAGGCCCGCUCCCAACCCCAGGAGGGUCCGCGGCCAGGCUGCUUUCUCCGGAGGAGGCGCCUGUUAACCCCGCACACAUCCGUGCCUGUUUGCCCUCAAGUCCUUGCAACAAAUGAUGCGAUUAAACGCAGACAUCCACAUCGCAAAAAGAGAUCCUGCGUCAUGUCGUGUCUAAAAAUUAAUUUCUAGAUUUAAAGGUGAAAGCUAAAGGAGUAAAGUUUUCAAGGAAAACGGGGAAAAAUCUGCUUGAUUUAGGAGCAGGUUAAGGCUUCUUGGCAGUAACCCUAAGAGAAUAAAUAGAGAAAUUAGAGGUCA